GAGUUUGAUCCUGGCUCAGGAUGAACGCUGGCGGCGUGCCUAACACAUGCAAGUCGAACGGAAUUUACAUGAAGCCUAGCGAUUGUAAAUUUAGUGGCGGACGGGUGAGUAACGCGUGGGUAACCUGCCUUGUACUGGGGGACAACAGUUGGAAACGACUGCUAAUACCGCAUAAGCGCACAGCUUCGCAUGAAGCAGUGUGAAAAACUCCGGUGGUACAAGAUGGACCUGCGUCUGAUUAGCUGGUUGGUGAGGUAACGGCCCACCUAGUCGACGAUGGGUAGCCGAGCUGAGAGGCUGAUCGGCCACACUGGAACUGAGACACGGUCCAGACUCCUACGGGAGGCAGCAGUGGGGAAUAUUGGGCAAUGGGCGCAAGCCUGACCCAGCAACGCCGCGUGAGGGAAGAAGGCUUUCGGGUUGUAAACCUCUGUCCUUGGUGACGAAGGAAGUGACGGUAGCCAAGGAGGAAGCCCCGGCUAACUACGUGCCAGCCGCCGCGGUAAUAC
RNAcentral lists this ribosomal RNA (509 nucleotides) under uncultured bacterium. RNAcentral's name for it is "bacterial SSU rRNA". It matches the Rfam family "Bacterial small subunit ribosomal RNA", at positions 9 to 526 of the family's 1533-position model. The record is from RNAcentral.